RNAcentral lists this ribosomal RNA (496 nucleotides) under uncultured bacterium. RNAcentral describes it as "partial 16S ribosomal RNA". It matches the Rfam family "Bacterial small subunit ribosomal RNA", at positions 29 to 507 of the family's 1533-position model. The record is from RNAcentral.
AUGAACGCUGGCGGCGUGCCUCAUACCUGCAAGUCGCGCGAACGGACGAGAAGCUUGCUUUUCUGAUGUUAGCGGCGGACGGGUGAGUAACACGUGGAUAACCUACCUAUAAGACUGGGAUAACUUCGGGAAACCGGAGCUAAUACCGGAUAAUAUUUUGAACCGCAUGGUUCAAAAGUGAAAGACGGUCUUGCUGUCACUUAUAGAUGGAUCCGCGCUGCAUUAGCUAGUUGGUAAGGUAACGGCUCACCAAGGCAACGAUGCAUAGCCGACCUGAGAGGGUGAUCGGCCACACUGGAACUGAGACACGGUCCAGACUCCUACGGGAGGCAGCAGUAGGGAAUCUUCCGCAAUGGGCGAAAGCCUGACGGAGCAACGCCGCGUGAGUGAUGAAGGUCUUCGGAUCGUAAAACUCUGUUAUUAGGGAAGAACAUAUGUGUAAGUAACUGUGCACAUCUUGACGGUACCUAAUCAGAAAGCCACGGCUAACUACGUG